ACAGGUCUGUGAUGCCCUUAGAUGUUCUGGGCCGCACGCGCGCUACACUGACAGAGCCAACGAGUUCUUUCUUUUCAACGAGGAAUGCCUAGUAAGCGCGUGUCAUCAGCAUGCGUUGAUUACGUCCCUGACCUUUGUACCGGAGGAAAAGAAACCAACAGGGAUUGCCCUAGUAACGGCGAGUGAAGCGGCAACAGCUCAAAUUUGAAAUCUGGCUCUUUUAGAGUCCGAGUUGUAAUUUGCAGAGGGCGCUUUGGCUUUGGCAGCGGUCCAAGUUCCUUGGAACAGGACGUCACAGAGGGUGAGAAUCCCGUACGUGGUCGCUGGCUAUUGCCGUGUAAAGCCCCUUCGACGAGUCGAGUUGUUUGGGAAUGCAGCUCUAAAUGGGAGGUACAUUUCUUCUAAAGCUAAAUAUUGGCCAGAGACCGAUAGCGCACAAGUAGAGUGAUCGAAAGAUGAAAAGCACUUUGGAAAGAGAGUCAAACAGCACGUGAAAUUGUUGAAAGGGAAGCGCUUGCAGCCAGACUUGCUUGCAGUUGCUCAUCCGGGCUUUUGUCCGGUGCACUCUUCUGUAGGCAGGCCAGCAUCAGUUUGGGCGGUAGGAUAAAGGUCUCUGUCACGUACCUCCUCUCGGGGAGGCCUUAUAGGGGAGACGACAUACUACCAGCCUGGACUGAGGUCCGCGCAUCUGCUAGGAUGCUGGCGUAAUGGCUGUAA
Molecule: ribosomal RNA, 717 nt
Filed under: Alternaria brassicae
Lineage: Eukaryota; Fungi; Ascomycota; Dothideomycetes; Pleosporales; Pleosporaceae
Description: eukaryotic LSU rRNA
Rfam family: Eukaryotic large subunit ribosomal RNA (bases 117-717)
Source: RNAcentral